RNAcentral lists this ribosomal RNA (448 nucleotides) under uncultured bacterium. Its description in RNAcentral is "partial 16S ribosomal RNA". It matches the Rfam family "Bacterial small subunit ribosomal RNA", at positions 330 to 794 of the family's 1533-position model. The record is from RNAcentral.
CCCAGACUCCUACGGGAGGCAGCAGUGGGGGAUAUUGCACAAUGGGGGGAACCCUGAUGCAGCGACGCCGCGUGGGUGAAGGAGCGUUUCGGCGCGUAAAGCCCUAUCGGCAGGGAAGAAGGAGGACGGUACCUGACUAAGAAGCCCCGGCUAACUACGUGCCAGCAGCCGCGGUAAUACGUAGGGGGCAAGCGUUAUCCGGAUUUACUGGGUGUAAAGGGGGCGCAGACGGCAGCGCAAGCCAGGAGUGAAAGCCCGGGGCCCAACCCCGGGACUGCUCUUGGAACUGCGCGGCUGGAGUGCAGGAGGGGCAGGCGGAAUUCCUGGUGUAGCGGUGAAAUGCGUAGAUAUCAGGAGGAACACCGGUGGCGAAGGCGGCCUGCUGGACUGCGACUGACGUUGAGGCCCGAAAGCGUGGGGAGCAAACAGGAUUAGAUACCCGCGUACC